This 73-nucleotide transfer RNA is filed under the name Dipodomys ordii (Ord's kangaroo rat). It matches the Rfam family "tRNA". From Rfam's summary of the family: Transfer RNA (tRNA) molecules are approximately 80 nucleotides in length. Lineage: Eukaryota; Metazoa; Chordata; Mammalia; Rodentia; Heteromyidae. The record is from Rfam by way of RNAcentral.
GGAGAUUUAGCUCAAGUGGUAGAGCUCAUGACUAGCAACCACAGGAUCCUAAGUUCAAAUCCUGGUACCUCCA